Molecule: long non-coding RNA, 289 nt
Filed under: Gossypium raimondii (Peruvian cotton)
Lineage: Eukaryota; Viridiplantae; Streptophyta; Magnoliopsida; Malvales; Malvaceae
Description: long non-coding RNA (GRAI_LNC009744)
Source: RNAcentral
CAUCUUCUAAUUCGAUUCCCACAAUUUUUGGUGAUUUUUCAAAGUUGGCACACUGCUACUGCCCAAAACUGUUUUAGUGCAACAUAUUUGAUUACCAUUUUGACCCUAAACUUUUAUCACAUGACAAUUUCAUCCCUAGGCUCUGAAAAUGAAAUUCUUGCAAUUUAAUCCUUGAUCCAAGCCUAAUAAUUCUCAUACAUAUCAAUAGCAGCCCAUGGAUUCCAUGAAAUUUCAGAAUUUUUCCACAAUUUUAAUACUUUUCAACUUAAUCCCUAAAACAUGUUUUCAU